This is a non-coding RNA of Nicotiana tabacum (common tobacco), 280 nucleotides long. The record is from RefSeq and is a predicted model, not a curated record. NCBI's taxonomy places the organism in Eukaryota, Viridiplantae, Streptophyta, Magnoliopsida, Solanales, Solanaceae.
CUGAACUGCUUCUUCUCUAGUGCACUGCUUCCCUUCAGAUGCGCUCUCUCGCAAUUUUCUGUCCAUAUUAGUUACAUUUUGCUAGGAAUACGAUUUAUUGGUAUUGCAUUGUGUCUUGGGAAUUUUUGAAGUAAAGUAUCCAUUUGGGCGAAUCAACUUCAGAAUGUCACUGCUCGUCUAAAGAUGUGCACGUUUCUAAGAGUACUGGACAUGGUGUAACUUCAAACCCGCUAUCAGAUUGAUAUGUUGUUAUGAUGGCAUUGAGUGCAUGUGAUGUGUA